RNAcentral lists this ribosomal RNA (497 nucleotides) under uncultured bacterium. RNAcentral's name for it is "partial 16S ribosomal RNA". It matches the Rfam family "Bacterial small subunit ribosomal RNA", at positions 28 to 507 of the family's 1533-position model. The record is from RNAcentral.
GAUGAACGCUGGCGGCGUGCCUAAUACAUGCAAGUCGAGCGAACAGACGAGGAGCUUGCUCCUUUGACGUUAGCGGCGGACGGGUGAGUAACACGUAGGUAACCUACCUAUAAGACUGGGAUAACUUCGGGAAACCGGAGCUAAUACCGGAUAAUAUUUCGAACCGCAUGGUUCGAUAGUGAAAGAUGGCUUUGCUAUCACUUAUAGAUGGACCUGCGCCGUAUUAGCUAGUUGGUAAGGUCACGGCUUACCAAGGCAACGAUACGUAGCCGACCUGAGAGGGGGAUCGGCCACACUGGAACUGAGACACGGUCCAGACUCCUACGGGAGGCAGCAGUAGGGAAUCUUCCGCAAUAGGCGAAAGCCUGACGGAGCAACGCCGCGUGAGUGAUGAAGGUCUUCGGAUCGUAAAACUCUGUUAUGAGGGAAGAACAAACGUGUAAGUAACUGUGCACGUCUUGACGGUACCUAAUCAGAAAGCCACGGCUAACUACGUG